CCUACGGGUGGCAGCAGUGAGGAAUAUUGGUCAAUGGACGAGAGUCUGAACCAGCCAAGUAGCGUGAAGGAUGACUGCCCUAUGGGUUGUAAACUUCUUUUAUAUGGGAAUAAAAUGUUCCACGUGUGGGAUUUUGUAUGUACCAUAUGAAUAAGGAUCGGCUAACUCCGUGCCAGCAGCAGCUGUAAUACGGAGGAUCCGAGCGUUAUCCGGAUUUCUGUGGUUUAAAGGGAGCGUAGGUGGAUUGUUAAGUCAGUUGGGAAAGUUUGCGGCUCAACCGUAAAAUUGCAGUUGAAACUGGCAGUCUUGAUGACAGUAGAGGUGGGAGGAAUUCGUGGUGUAGCGGUGAAAUGCUUAGAUAUCACGAAGAACUCCGAUUGCGAAGGCAGUUCACUGGACUGCAACUGACACUGAGGCUCGAAAGUGUGGGUAUCAAACAGGAGUAGAUACCCUUGUAGUC
Molecule: ribosomal RNA, 460 nt
Filed under: uncultured bacterium
Lineage: Bacteria
Description: partial 16S ribosomal RNA
Rfam family: Bacterial small subunit ribosomal RNA
Source: RNAcentral